GGUUAGAACAAUUACGGGGGAUUUAAUGCCUAAGUUGGUUUUCGCUUCCCUCAUUUAGCCCUUUGGCUUAUUACAGAGAAUCAAUGGCAAUUUUGUUAUCUGCAGGUGCUGCAACCAAGCUAAGCUCCAAGCUUCUCAACUAUAAUGGUAGCAUACAAGAAGUGUCAUCAACUGCUCGCACUAAUUUCACAGGUAAAUCUCUGUUUUCCUUUCAGUUCACUGAAGCCUUUUCUCUUCUUUUGGUAUCUAAGCUAAGACCCAGUUUCAAAAAGAUGUUAUUUUUAUCUUCAGGCUUGAGCACAGAGACCAAGACACUCUACAAGAGAUAUUCAUUUGUUAAUUUAGCUGUUAGGAAUCAUACAAGUGUUGAAUUAAAACAGGGAAAUCAUGCUAAAUUAGCGCCAAGGAAAGGGGGUAGGGACCUAGUUUUAAGCGAGGGAAGAGAAGAUGAUGACAACUAUGGGCCUAUUUGCCCUGGUUGUGGGAUCUUCAUGCAAGAUAAAGACCCAAACCUUCCUGGGUAUUAUCAGAAAAGAAAAGUUACCAUUGAAGAAAUUGAAGUAGCAGAGGAUGAGGAAGAGGAAAUUAAAGAUGACUUUGUAGGGUUUGAGGAAGAAGAGUCUGAGAAUAGAAUUGAAGGUAAAGUUGAGGAAAGUGAAGGGGAUAUGGAUAAUUUGGAAGAGGGUGAAGAGUUGGAUUGGGAUUCUGAUGAAUUUGAAGCAAUGUUAGAAAAAGAAGAUGAUGUUUUGGAUUUGGAUGGUUUCACUCCUGCAGGUGUUGGGUAUGGUAACAUCACUGAGGAGAUAAUAGAGAAAGAAAGGAAGAAAAAGGAAAAAAGGAAGGUGUCAAAAGCAGAGAAGAAGAGGAUGGCAAGGGAGGCCAAAAAGGACAAGGAUGAGGUUACAGUGUGUGCUCGAUGUCACUCUUUGAGGAAUUAUGGGCAGGUUAAGAACCAAACAGCUGAAAAUUUGAUACCUGACUUUGAUUUUGAUAGAUUGAUUACAAAUAGGUUGAUAAAAUCAAGUGGUAGUGGCAACGCUACUGUUGUUAUCAUGGUUGUUGAUUGUAUUGAUUUUGAUGGCUCAUUUCCUAGACGGACGGCAAUGUCCUUGUUCAAUACAUUUGAAGGAGCCAAAAAUGACCCUAAAGCUAGCAAAAAGUUGCCUAAGCUCGUUCUUGCAGCUACAAAGGUUGAUCUUCUCCCAUCACAAAUUUCACCUACUAGAUUAGAUAGAUGGGUUAGGCACCGCGCUAGGGCAGGAGGGGCACCUAAGCUAAGUGGAGUUUAUUUGGUUAGUGCUCAUAAGGAUUUGGGUGUGAGGAAUUUGUUGUCAUUUGUCAAGGAAUUGACUGGUCCUCGAGGGAAUGUAUGGGUUAUUGGGUCUCAAAAUGCAGGCAAGUCCACUCUAAUCAAUGCAUUUGCAAAGAAAGGAGGGGCCAAAAUAACAAAGCUCACAGAAGCUCCAGUUCCUGGAACAACACUUGGGAUUCUGAGAAUUGGAGGGAUUUUGUCUGCCAAGGCAAAGAUGUAUGACACUCCUGGGCUUCUGCAUCCAUAUCUAAUGUCCAUGAGAUUGAAUAGAGAUGAGCAAAAAAUGGUUGAAAUAAGGAAGGAGCUACAACCUCGAACAUACAGGAUGAAGGUUGGACAGGCUGUACAUGUUGGUGGCUUGCUGCGACUAGACCUUAAUCAAGCUUCUGUAGAAACAAUUUAUGUCACAGUUUGGGCAUCACCAAGUGUUUCUCUGCACUUGGGGAAGAUAGAAAAUGCUGAUGAUUUCUGGGGAAACCAUGUUGGGGUUCGAUUACAGCCUCCAGUGGGCAAAGAAAGAGCUACUGAGUUGGGCAAAUGGGAAGGGAGAGAAAUCAAAGUGGCUGGAGCGAGCUGGGAUGUGAAUAGCAUUGAUAUUGCAGUAGCUGGCUUAGGUUGGUUUUCUUUGGGUCUCAAAGGUGAAGCAACUGCAACACUGUGGACAUAUGAUGGUAUUGAGAUCACUUUGAGAGAACCUUUGGUUCUUGACCGAGCACAAUUCCUUGAGAGACCUGGAUUCUGGCUACCAAAGGCUAUAUCUGAUGCUAUUGGCAACCAAUCUAAACUUGAAUCCCAAAAAAGGAAAAUGCUUCAAUAGAAGAGUGUGGAAUCUAUUUCAGAGUUGUCUGCUUGAUGGGAAAAUAAGAGGGGUUGGAUAUCUGGUUGAAAGAGAAAGGAGAGGAUGAGUCUUAAUUGUUUCUCUUUGAAAGUGCCCUUGCUUGAAGAGGAAAGAGAUCAGUCUCUCUCGUUUCCUCUAUGCAACUUGGUUGAGCUCAAAGCUGUUAAUAACAGCUUACAUAAAAAACAUAGGUUCAGAUAUUAUCUGAAGGACAAGACACUGUUAGCUCAGUUCCAAUUUGAGUAAUUAUAGAGCAUCUGACGUUUGUUUCAUGGGACUAAUUCUGCGAAGAAUAUGAAUUAUAGGUAGUUUAUUUGAACUUGGUAGAAGAAAUUUUAGGGGAGGCUGGGGGUGUGAAACUUGCCAAUUGGAUCACGUGUUUAGUUUACAGUGAGUUGAUUUUGCCUGUCAUGCCAGGUAAACGCAAUCAGUAGAUAAUUUUCAUCAUUUUUUAAUAUUUGAAAGAUGCUUAAAAGGAUGAUUAACUUUUGUCUUUUGCAAUGCCAGUUAUCAUUAGUCAGGUAUCGGCAUCUAACCAUCUUUGUCAAGUUAAGCCACUUUCCAAUUCCAGUUGCAGGUUUGACUACCAAAUGGGUAAAAUGAUAGCUAUUACUACUUGCAACACCAGUUUUCUCCAUCCCCUUCUUUAAUAUCCGAAAUUGAUCUGGGAUUUAAAGAAUUUGAUGCGUUGUCUUUAGUGUAACUAUAAGCCAAUCAUAGAAGUUGAUGAUGCUUAACUGGUCAGUACUUACACCUCCCAGAAUUCCUUCAUGUGAAUUCUGGUAAUUCGUCUCUUUUUUUUUUUUUU
Molecule: unclassified non-coding RNA, 2958 nt
Filed under: Hevea brasiliensis (rubber tree)
Lineage: Eukaryota; Viridiplantae; Streptophyta; Magnoliopsida; Malpighiales; Euphorbiaceae
Source: RNAcentral